GCUCAGUCCCGGCCCCACCGCCCGCUUCUCAUCUGUAAGCUGAGGGCAAUAAUCGUUCCAGAUCUCGCGGUUGUCACGAGAAAAAACAUCCUGCGUCAGGGAAAGGUGGAAAGGACCUUCAGAUCCUUAAAGGAGUCACCCCCGAGGGCACGGAGGAUGGGGACGGAGGUCGGCAACCCUGGCGGCAGACUGGGCUUGGCCACAAGCUCAGAGUUCGCUCCCGCCCAGUAUCUGACUGCUUGCUGUCCUUAGGCCUCUGGGUGGGCUUACGGAGUGUGAGAACCUUGCACGUCAUACCCUGGAAUGCCAGGAGUUUCACAUUAACCAUCUGUGGGGUCCCAAAGAGCAACAGAUCGUGUCACAGUGAGAUUUGUAUCUCUGUAUCACAACAAGACUGGCUUAGAGAAGAUGCCUCGUGGAAGUGUAUGAACAAACAAACGAAUGAAUGAAUGGACAGCCAUAGGGGCAGGGGUGAGGCGGUCGAGGGGAGGCUACUUUCCCAGCAUCUUGAGCAGCAGCCUGAGCUGUACAUGAUCAUGAGGCUCACUCCCUGGGGACCUUCCCUCUGUCACUUUGCAGCUUGAGACCCAGUCCUCUGCGGAUGUCCUGGUUUCCCAAUGCAGCACGGGUGUGGACAGCUGAAGCUGUCCUUGCCUCCUAACCACCCCCAGCCCCUUUCGCAUUCUCUGGACUCGAGGGGAAGCCAGGAUAUUGUCCUUCAAAAGGCUGUCAUCGUUUUUAAGUUGAUUGUCAAUGUAAUAUGGAGGCUAUGAAAAAUCUGGGAACGUACAAAGUCUAAAGAAGAAAAUAAAAUCAUUGGUAAGCCUGUCA
This is a long non-coding RNA of Herpailurus yagouaroundi (jaguarundi), 831 nucleotides long. RefSeq lists it as uncharacterized. The transcript has 2 exons. Lineage: Eukaryota; Metazoa; Chordata; Mammalia; Carnivora; Felidae. The record is from RefSeq and is a predicted model, not a curated record.